Molecule: ribosomal RNA, 459 nt
Filed under: uncultured bacterium
Lineage: Bacteria
Description: partial 16S ribosomal RNA
Rfam family: Bacterial small subunit ribosomal RNA
Source: RNAcentral
CCUACGGGUGGCAGCAGUGAGGAAUAUUGGUCAAUGGGCGCGAGCCUGAACCAGCCAAGUAGCGUGAGGGAAGACGGUCCUAUGGAUUGUCAACCUCUUUUGUCGGGGAGCAAAAGACGCCACGCGUGGCGUUCCGAGAGUACCCGAAGAAAAAGCAUCGGCUAACUCCGUGCCAGCAGCCGCGGUAAUACGGAGGAUGCGAGCGUUAUCUGGAUGUAUUGGGGUUAAAGGGUGCGCAGGCGGAAGAUCAAGUCAGCGGUAAAAUUGAGAGGCUCAACCUCUUCGAGCCGUUGAAACUGGUUUUCUUGAGUGAGCGAGAGGUAUGCGGAAUGUGUGGUGUAGCGGUGAAAUGCAUAGAUAUCACGCAGAACUCCGAGUGCGAAGGCAGCAUACCGGCGCUAAACUGACGCUCAGGCACGAAAGUGUGGGUAUCGAACAGGAUAAGAUACCCUUGUAGUC